This 600-nucleotide long non-coding RNA is filed under the name Lathyrus oleraceus (garden pea). RNAcentral describes it as "Pisum sativum (pea) long non-coding RNA (PSAT_LNC039682)". Lineage: Eukaryota; Viridiplantae; Streptophyta; Magnoliopsida; Fabales; Fabaceae. The record is from RNAcentral.
UUUGUGUGUGUGUGAGAUGCGUGUGUCAGGUGGGUGAUGUGUGUGUGUGUGUAUGUGUGAUGUGUGUGUGAUGUAUGGGUGAUGUAUGCGUGAUGUGGNGUGUGUGUUAUGUGUGUGAUGUGUGUGUGUGAUGUGUCUGUGUGUGCGCAUGAUGUGUGUGUAAUGUGUGUGUGUGUGUGAUAUGUGUGUGUGUGAUGUGUGUGUGAUAUAUGUGUGUGUGAUGUGCUUGUGAUAUAUGUGAUGUGUGUGUCUUUGUGUGUGAAUGUGUGUGAUGUGUGUGCGAUGUAUGUGUGUAUGUGAUAUGUGUGCGUGUGAUAUGAUAUAUGUGUGUGUGUGCCAUAUGUGUGCGUGUGUGUGUGUGUGUGUGAUGUGUGAUGUGUGUGUGAUGUAUGUGUAUGUGUGUGUGUGACGUGUGUGUGUGUAUGUGAUGUGUGUGUGUGUGUGUGAUGUGUGUGUGUGUGUGUGUGAUGUGUUUGUGAUAUAUGUAUGUGUGUGUGUGUGAUGUGUGUGUAUGUAUGAUGUGUGUGUGUGAUGCGAUAUAUGUGUGAUGUGUGUGUGAUAUGUGUGUGAUGUGUGUUUGUGUGUGUGUAUGGGUUAUGU